RNAcentral lists this unclassified non-coding RNA (555 nucleotides) under Fusarium redolens. Its description in RNAcentral is "sequence contains ITS1, 5.8S rRNA gene and ITS2". The stretch from base 196 to 349 matches the Rfam family "5.8S ribosomal RNA". Lineage: Eukaryota; Fungi; Ascomycota; Sordariomycetes; Hypocreales; Nectriaceae. The record is from RNAcentral.
AAGUCGUAACAAGGUCUCCGUUGGUGAACCAGCGGAGGGAUCAUUACCGAGUUUACAACUCCCAAACCCCUGUGAACAUACCUUACUGUUGCCUCGGCGGAUCAGCCCGCUCCCGGUAAAACGGGACGGCCCGCCAGAGGACCCCUAAACUCUGUUUCUAUAUGUAACUUCUGAGUAAAACCAUAAAUAAAUCAAAACUUUCAACAACGGAUCUCUUGGUUCUGGCAUCGAUGAAGAACGCAGCAAAAUGCGAUAAGUAAUGUGAAUUGCAGAAUUCAGUGAAUCAUCGAAUCUUUGAACGCACAUUGCGCCCGCCAGUAUUCUGGCGGGCAUGCCUGUUCGAGCGUCAUUUCAACCCUCAAGCCCUCGGGUUUGGUGUUGGGGAUCGGCGAGCCUUUCUGGCAAGCCGGCCCCGAAAUCUAGUGGCGGUCUCGCUGCAGCCUCCAUUGCGUAGUAGUAAAACCCUCGCAACUGGAACGCGGCGCGGCCAAGCCGUUAAACCCCCAACUUCUGAAUGUUGACCUCGGAUCAGGUAGGAAUACCCGCUGAACUUAA